GAAAUCCGUUAACUGCUUUAGCACAAAUCGAUUGUGAAAGCCAAAAUUUGCAACUCGUUACCCUCGACACAAUGAGCAAUCAUUCAAACAAAUACAAUAAAUACAAAUAUAUGUAUAGUGUACAUUGUACAUAUUACACACAGACACACACACACCCACAUUCCGAAUUCGAAUUCGUGAAAUUUUCAUUUCCGUUGCGCUAGAGCACGGCAUAUCCGUGUGGUAUCCAAUAUAUAUUUGGGGGGAAAAAAGGUUCAACGCAACAUGCAAAAUUCAUGCAGAUUCCAUUCAAUGGAGAACGAAAGAGACAAAGCGAAAGAAUGACCACCCCAUGUGCUAAUCGAAACGUUUUUGGUGGCUGCAUUUAAGAGCCACUUUCCCCAUCGCGAUAGAUGUUGCUGCUGAUGAUUAUGAUGAUGAUGAUGAUGAUGAUGAUGAUGAUGAUGAUGAUGAUGGCAGCGGGAGGCGGCGUUGCAUCAAGGUCAAUGCAUAAAUACCGAAGUGCACACUGUGCAGUAAGUGGUGAGCGGUGAGCGGUGAGGGGUGCACUGCCAUUAGCAUUCAAGUACCCCACACACCAAACAUCCUGGAGCCUUUGCCCUUUGCCCUUUGCCAUUUAUCCUUUGCUGGCAGGCCAUUACACCAUCCAAUAUACUCGCUGACCUCCUAACAACACGACGCGUCUCCCUCUAACAACUCAUCAACACUUUUCCCCAAUUUUGCCUCACUAAAAAGUUAAGCGUUUUUCGCGAUUUGCGCAAAACUUUUGCACACUUGUUUCGCACUGCAACU
Long non-coding RNA from Drosophila sulfurigaster albostrigata, 792 nucleotides. RefSeq lists it as uncharacterized. Lineage: Eukaryota; Metazoa; Arthropoda; Insecta; Diptera; Drosophilidae. The transcript is spliced from 2 exons. The record is from RefSeq and is a predicted model, not a curated record.